AUAUUGGGCAAUGGGCGCAAGCCUGACCCAGCCACGCCGCGUGAGUGAUGAAGGCCUUCGGGUCGUAAAGCUCUGUGGGGAGGGACGAAAAAACGCUGGCUAACAUCCAGCGGACUGACGGUACCUCCUUAGCAAGCACCGGCUAACUCCGUGCCAGCAGCCGCGGUAAUACGGAGGGUGCAAACGUUGCUCGGAAUCAUUGGGCGUAAAGCGCACGUAGGCGGUCCGGCAAGUCGGGUGUGAAAGCCCUCGGCUUAACCGAGGAAGUGCAUUCGAAACUACCGGACUUGAGUACUGGAGAGGGUUGCGGAAUUCCCGGUGUAGAGGUGAAAUUCGUAGAUAUCGGGAGGAACACCAGUGGCGAAGGCGGCAACCUGGACAGAUACUGACGCUGAGGUGCGAAAGCGUGGGGAGCAAAC
Molecule: ribosomal RNA, 419 nt
Filed under: uncultured bacterium
Lineage: Bacteria
Description: bacterial SSU rRNA
Rfam family: Bacterial small subunit ribosomal RNA
Source: RNAcentral